GUGCUUCCUUCAGCAGCACAUAUACUAAAAUUGGAAUGAUGCAGAGAAUAGCAUGGUCCCUGUGCAAAAAUGACACAAAAAUUCAUGAAGCAUUUCAUUUUUAA
Molecule: small nuclear RNA, 104 nt
Organism: Ochotona curzoniae (black-lipped pika)
Lineage: Eukaryota; Metazoa; Chordata; Mammalia; Lagomorpha; Ochotonidae
Source: RefSeq, a predicted model, not a curated record